RNAcentral lists this ribosomal RNA (466 nucleotides) under Digitipes sp. B JJ-2012. RNAcentral describes it as "partial 16S ribosomal RNA". It matches the Rfam family "Bacterial large subunit ribosomal RNA", at positions 1861 to 2609 of the family's 2925-position model. The record is from RNAcentral. Lineage: Eukaryota; Metazoa; Arthropoda; Chilopoda; Scolopendromorpha; Scolopendridae.
GCCCAAUGAAUAUAUUAAUGGCCGCGGUAUUAUGACCGUGCGAAGGUAGCAUAAUCAAUAGUCUAUUAAAUGUGGUCUGGAAUGAAUGGUUUGACGAGGGGUAUCUUUUUUAACUUUAUAGUUGAAUUUUAAUUAUUAGUGAAAAUGCUAAUGUGUUUUAGAGGGACGAGAAGACCCUAUAGAGCUUUAUAUAUAAUUAAAAAAUUAGUGGUAUUUAUUUUUUAAUUUAUAUUUUGUUGGGGCGACAAUAAAUAGAAACAUUUAUGAAAUUGUCUAUAAUUAUAGGGUUUUGAUCCAUUAUUAAUGAUUAUUAGACCAAGUUACCUUAGGGAUAACAGCGUAAUUUUAUUUUAGAGUUCUUAUCGAUAAUAAAGUUUGCGACCUCGAUGUUGGAUUAGGAUUCUUUUAAGGUGUAGCAGUUUUAAAAAGUAGUCUGUUCGACUAUUAAAAUCCUACAUGAUCUGAG